RNAcentral lists this ribosomal RNA (381 nucleotides) under uncultured bacterium. RNAcentral describes it as "bacterial SSU rRNA". It matches the Rfam family "Bacterial small subunit ribosomal RNA", at positions 30 to 420 of the family's 1533-position model. The record is from RNAcentral.
CCUGAACGCUGGCGGCGUGGCUAAGACAUGCAAGUCGUACGGGGCCGCAAGGCCCAGUGGCGAACGGGUGAGUAAUGAAUCGCUAAUGUGCCCCGGACUCAGGGAUAGCCGCUCGAAAGGGCGGGUAAUACCUGAUGACAUAACCCUGUCGCAUGGCAGGGUUCUCAAAGGUCCGCCGGUCUGGGAGCAGGCGAUUUCGUAUCAGCUAGUUGGUGAGGUAACGGCUCACCAAGGCGACGACGCGUAGCCGGACUGAGAGGUUGGCCGGCCACAUUGGGACUGAGAUACGGCCCAGACUCCUACGGGAGGCAGCAGUGGGGAAUCUUGCGCAAUGGGCGAAAGCCUGACGCAGCGACGCCGCGUGAGGGAUGACGGCCUCGG